CUGCGUGGGUGAAGCCUCCAAGGACACUUCUCUGUUUCAGGGAUGGAAGCCGGGACAGUCUCUGCGGGGCCUCAGGGAUGGAAGCCGGGUCAGUCUUUGUGGGGCCCCUGGGCUACAUGCACACACCCGGGCCGACAGUUCCUGUUUUUCCUUUUCUUUUUAACUGGGAACUAAGGAAGGUCUUUGUGUGCCCGCUGACAAGGAUGAAAUUUUCCAGCUGACCACAGUAGAAAGUUCAUCAUACUGACUUAUUUGUUGCUGUGAAUGCAAGAUAAUUGCCCCUGUACCUUGUCCCUAAGACCUCGUUGAAGGACAAGACUGUAUUGGAGGCUGGCACACACUGGAGAGGCCCGUCCACACCGCAGGUGACGCGGGGGUAUUGGAGGCUGGCACACACUGGAGAGGCCCGUCCACACCGCAGGUGACGCGGGGGUAUUGGAGGCUGGCAGACACUGGAGAGGCCCAUCCACACCGCAGGUGACACAGGGGUAUUGGAGGCUGGCACACACUGGAGAGGCCCAUCCAUACUGCAGGUGACGCGGGGGUAUUGGAGGCUGGUACACACUGGAGAGGCCCGUCCACACCGCAGGAGACAUGGGGGUAUUGGAGGCUGGCACACACUGGAGAGGCCCGUCCACACCGCAGGUGACGCGGGGGUAUUGGAGGCUGGCACACACUGGAGAGGCCCGUCCACACCGCAGGUGACGCGGGGGUAUUGGAGGCUGGUACACACUGGAGAGGCCCGUCCACACCGCAGGAGACAUGGGGGUAUUGGAGGCUGGCACACACUGGAGAGGCCCGUCCACACCGCAGGUGACACGGGGGUAUUGGAGGCUGGAACACACUGGAGAGGCCCAUCCACACCGCAGGUGACGCGGGGGUAUUGGAGGCUGGUACACACUGGAGAGGCCCGUCCACACCGCAGGAGACAUGGGGGUAUUGGAGGCUGGUACACACUGGAGAGGCCCGUCCACACCGCAGGUGACGCGGGGGUAUUGGAGGCUGGCACACACUGGAGAGGCCCGUCCACACCGCAGGUGACGCGGGGGUAUUGGAGGCUGGCACACACUGGAGAGGCCCGUCCACACCGCAGGUGACGCGGGGGUAUUGGAGGCUGGCAGACACUGGAGAGGCCCAUCCACACCGCAGGUGACACAGGGGUAUUGGAGGCUGGCACACACUGGAGAGGCCCAUCCAUACUGCAGGUGACGCGGGGGUAUUGGAGGCUGGCACACACUGGAGAGGCCCGUCCACACCGCAGGUGACGCGGGGGUAUUGGAGGCUGGCACACACUGGAGAGGCCCGUCCACACCGCAGGUGACGCGGGGGUAUUGGAGGCUGGCACACACUGGAGAGGCCCGUCCACACCGCAGGUGACGCGGGGGUAUUGGAGGCUGGCACACACUGGAGAGGCCCGUCCACACCGCAGGUGACGCGGGGGUAUUGGAGGCUGGCACACACUGGAGAGGCCCGUCCACACCGCAGGUGACGCGGGGGUAUUGGAGGCUGGCACACACUGGAGAGGCCCGUCCACACCGCAGGAGACCCGGCGGCGCGAUCCUUCUGCAGCUGGGCAGGGGAGGGUUUCGCUUCCUCAGGGGCCUCUUCAGGGUCAUCCCUGGCACAGAGAAUCGAACCAAAGUCCCUUCUAAUCUCCCGUCAGUGGGAAUCCUUACAAACACCUGGUGAUUACACGGCUUCCAGAGAUUGAGUAAAUAUUUACAUUCCACGCUGGCUUGUUGAUAAAUAUCCCUAACAGGAGUUACUGGACUUCAAGGGAAUGAAUUCUUAGUGGAUAUCUGUAACUAUUUUAAAACCGAGAUCUCAUUUCCAAAGGAAAAAGCACAGGCCCUGCGAGUCCGCUCCGCGUUGGGUCCCCCCGGCACCGCGUGCUGCCUCCAUGUGGGUCCCCCCGGCACCCCGU
This 1924-nucleotide long non-coding RNA is filed under the name Homo sapiens (human). Its description in RNAcentral is "HSALNT0274757". The record is from RNAcentral. Lineage: Eukaryota; Metazoa; Chordata; Mammalia; Primates; Hominidae.